GGGCAGUUCGUCGACUCUGCUCUUAGAUGAUCCAAUGAUCAAAGAGCUUCUUCGGAUCGGGUCCCAAUUUGUUGGGUACCGUGAAUAUGCCGCCAGAGCCGAAG
Lolium perenne is the source of this 104-nucleotide non-coding RNA. Lineage: Eukaryota; Viridiplantae; Streptophyta; Magnoliopsida; Poales; Poaceae. The record is from RefSeq and is a predicted model, not a curated record.